AUACGGAGGAUGCGAGCGUUAUCCGGAUUUAUUGGGUUUAAAGGGAGCGUAGGCGGGAGCUUAAGUCAGCGGUUAAAUGGUGCGGCUCAACCGUGCCCUGCCGUUGAAACUGGGUUUCUUGAGAGUGCAAGAGGCGGAUGGAAUUCAUGGUGUAGCGGUGAAAUGCUUAGAUAUCAUGAAGAACUCCGAUUGCGAAGGCAGUCCGCUGGGGCACGUCUGACGCUGAUGCUCGAAGGUGCGGGAAUCAAACAGGAUUAGAUACCCUGGUAGUCCGCACGGUAAACGAUGAUUACCCGCUGUCGGCGGUAGACAGUCGGCGGCCAAGCGAAAGCGAUAAGUAAUCCACCUGGGGAGUACGCCGGCAACGGUGAA
RNAcentral lists this ribosomal RNA (372 nucleotides) under uncultured bacterium. RNAcentral describes it as "partial 16S ribosomal RNA". It matches the Rfam family "Bacterial small subunit ribosomal RNA", at positions 523 to 898 of the family's 1533-position model. The record is from RNAcentral.